UGCAAGUCGAACGGCAGCACGGAGAGCUUGCUCUCUGGUGGCGAGUGGCGAACGGGUGAGUAAUAUAUCGGAACGUGUCCAAUAAUGGGGGAUAACGAGUCGAAAGAUUCGCUAAUACCGCAUACGCCCUACGGGGGAAAGCAGGGGAUCGUAAGACCUUGCGUUAAUGGAGCGGCCGAUAUCUGAUUAGCUUGUUGGUGAGGUAAAGGCUCACCAAGGCGACGAUCAGUAGCUGGUUUGAGAGAACGACCAGCCACACUGGAACUGAGACACGGUCCAGACUCCUACGGGAGGCAGCAGUGGGGAAUUUUGGACAAUGGGGGCAACCCUGAUCCAGCCAUUCCGCGUGAGUGAAGAAGGCCUUCGGGUUGUAAAGCUCUUUCGCAAGGGAAGAAAACUUAUGAUCGAAUAAAUCAUGAGGUUGACGGUACCUUGAUAAGAAGCACCGGCUAACUACGUGCCAGCAGCCGCGGUAAUACGUAGGGUGCGAGCGUUAAUCGGAAUUACUGGGCGUAAAGCGUGCGCAGGCGGUUUUGUAAGUCGGAUGUGAAAUCCCCGGGCUCAACCUGGGAACUGCGUUCGAAACUGCAAGGCUAGAGUGUGUCAGAGGGGGGUAGAAUUCCACGUGUAGCAGUGAAAUGCGUAGAGAUGUGGAGGAAUACCAAUGGCGAAGGCAGCCCCCUGGGAUAACACUGACGCU
RNAcentral lists this ribosomal RNA (700 nucleotides) under uncultured bacterium. RNAcentral describes it as "bacterial SSU rRNA". It matches the Rfam family "Bacterial small subunit ribosomal RNA", at positions 56 to 747 of the family's 1533-position model. The record is from RNAcentral.